AUCACUUCUCGCCCUUUUAGCAUAGAUCAAAAUGUAGUAUUUGUGCUUAUUAGCUUAAUUUUGAUACGAGGCCAUACGUUUUUUUAUAUGGUAUAUAUUUAUAACUUAUUUAUAUGAGAGUAUGGAUGUUAUGUCGCGGUCGGCCUCGUAUUGAAGUCCCUCCGGGAGUGGUCCACUGCCC
RNAcentral lists this small nuclear RNA (181 nucleotides) under Lepeophtheirus salmonis (salmon louse). Its description in RNAcentral is "U2 spliceosomal RNA". It matches the Rfam family "U2 spliceosomal RNA". Rfam says of the family: U2 is a small nuclear RNA (snRNA) component of the spliceosome (involved in pre-mRNA splicing). Complementary binding between U2 snRNA (in an area lying towards the 5' end but 3' to hairpin I) and the branchpoint sequence (BPS) of the intron results the bulging out of an unpaired adenosine, on the BPS, which initiates a nucleophilic attack at the intronic 5' splice site, thus starting the first of two transesterification reactions that mediate splicing. Lineage: Eukaryota; Metazoa; Arthropoda; Copepoda; Siphonostomatoida; Caligidae. The record is from Rfam by way of RNAcentral.